GGAAGGUCCGGGCGUUAUCCGGAUUUAUUGGGUUUAAAGGGAGCGUAGGCCGUCUGGUAAGCGUGUUGUGAAAUGUCGGGGCUCAACCCCGGGACUGCAUUUGGAACUGUAGAGCUAGAGUGUCGGAGAGGCAAGUGGAAUUCCUAGUGUAGCGGUGAAAUGCGUAGAUAUUAGGAGGAACACCAGUGGCGAAGGCNGCUUUCUGGGCCAUCACUGACGCUGAGGAGCGAAAGCUGGGGGAGCGAACAGGAUUAGAUACCCUGGUAGUCCCAGCCGUAA
Molecule: ribosomal RNA, 279 nt
Filed under: uncultured bacterium
Lineage: Bacteria
Description: partial 16S ribosomal RNA
Rfam family: Bacterial small subunit ribosomal RNA
Source: RNAcentral